ACGGAAGGCAGCAGUGGGGAAUAUUGCACAAUGGGGGAAACCUUGAUGCAGCGACGCCGCGUGAGUGAAGAAGUAUCUCGGUAUGUAAAGCUCUAUCAGCAGGGAAGAAAAUGACGGUACCUGACUAAGAAGCCCCGGCUAACUACGUGCCAGCAGCCGCGGUAAUACGUAGGGGGCAAGCGUUAUCCGGAUUUACUGGGUGUAAAGGGAGCGUAGACGGCGAUGCAAGUCUGAAGUGAAAGGCGGGGGCUCAACCCUUGGACUGCUUUGGAAACUGUAUUGCUAGAGUGCAGGAGAGGUAAGUGGAAUUCCUAGUGUAGCGGUGAAAUGCGUAGAUAUUAGGAGGAACACCAGUGGCGAAGGCGGCUUACUGGACUGUAACUGACGUUGAGGCUCGAAAGCGUGGGGAGCAAACAGGAUUAGAUACCCUGGUA
This 434-nucleotide ribosomal RNA is filed under the name uncultured Clostridiales Family XIV bacterium. RNAcentral describes it as "bacterial SSU rRNA". It matches the Rfam family "Bacterial small subunit ribosomal RNA", at positions 341 to 792 of the family's 1533-position model. The record is from RNAcentral. Lineage: Bacteria; Bacillati; Bacillota; Clostridia; Eubacteriales; Clostridiales Family XIV. Incertae Sedis.